RNAcentral lists this ribosomal RNA (253 nucleotides) under uncultured bacterium. RNAcentral's name for it is "partial 16S ribosomal RNA". It matches the Rfam family "Bacterial small subunit ribosomal RNA", at positions 524 to 776 of the family's 1533-position model. The record is from RNAcentral.
UACGAAGGGUGCAAGCGUUACUCGGAAUUACUGGGCGUAAAGCGUGCGUAGGCGGUUUGUUAAGUCCGCUGUGAAAGCCCUGGGCUCAACCUGGGAAUUGCAGUGGAUACUGGCAAGCUAGAGUGCGGUAGAGGAUGGUGGAAUUCCCGGUGUAGCGGUGAAAUGCGUAGAGAUCGGAAAGAACACCAACGGCGAAAGCACUCUGCUGGGCCGACACUGACACUGAGAGACGAAAGCUAGGGGAGCAAAUGGG